Molecule: ribosomal RNA, 502 nt
Filed under: uncultured bacterium
Lineage: Bacteria
Description: partial 16S ribosomal RNA
Rfam family: Bacterial small subunit ribosomal RNA
Source: RNAcentral
GACGAACGCUGGCGGCGUGCCUAAUACAUGCAAGUCGAACGAACCGCGACUAGGUGCUUGCACUUGGUCAAGGUGAGUGGCGAACGGGUGAGUAACACGUGGGUAACCUACCUCAUAGUGGGGGAUAACAGUCGGAAACGACUGCUAAUACCGCAUAGGACAUAGGAUCACAUGAUUCUGUGAGGAAAGGUGGCGCAAGCCAUCGCUAAGAGAUGGACCCGCGGUGCAUUAGCUAGUUGGUAGGGUAAAGGCCUACCAAGGCGAUGAUGCAUAGCCGACCUGAGAGGGUGAUCGGCCACAUUGGGACUGAGACACGGCCCAAACUCCUACGGGAGGCAGCAGUAGGGAAUCUUCCGCAAUGGACGCAAGUCUGACGGAGCAACGCCGCGUGAGUGAAGAAGGUCUUCGGAUCGUAAAGCUCUGUUGUUAGAGAAGAACAGCGCAUAGAGUAACUGUUAUGCGUGUGACGGUAGCUAACCAGAAAGCCACGGCUAACUACGUG